Small nuclear RNA from Protopterus annectens (West African lungfish), 127 nucleotides. Lineage: Eukaryota; Metazoa; Chordata; Ceratodontiformes; Protopteridae. The record is from RefSeq and is a predicted model, not a curated record.
UUUUAGUAUGAAAGGAGAUAAGUUUAGCAAUCCCAUUGGUAAGGAUGGAAGAAGUCUUGGUGGCCUUUACAAUGCAGAUAUGGUUAAGGCAUUGCCACUUAAUUCGUGGCAGCUACUGGGUGGGGGU